This 73-nucleotide transfer RNA is filed under the name Camelus bactrianus (Bactrian camel). It matches the Rfam family "tRNA". From Rfam's summary of the family: Transfer RNA (tRNA) molecules are approximately 80 nucleotides in length. Their secondary structure includes four short double-helical elements and three loops (D, anti-codon, and T loops). The record is from Rfam by way of RNAcentral. Lineage: Eukaryota; Metazoa; Chordata; Mammalia; Artiodactyla; Camelidae. RNAcentral also lists the same sequence under 2 other names.
GAGGGUAUAGCUCAAGUGGUAGAGCAUAUGCUUAGCAUGCAUGAGGUCCUGGGUUCAAUCCCCAGUACCUCCA